Long non-coding RNA from Oenanthe melanoleuca, 843 nucleotides. RefSeq lists it as uncharacterized. The record is from RefSeq and is a predicted model, not a curated record. NCBI's taxonomy places the organism in Eukaryota, Metazoa, Chordata, Aves, Passeriformes, Muscicapidae. The transcript has 2 exons.
GACAGGGUUCAGACCAGGCUGAGGAAUAGAGCACAUCUCCAACGCCAGGAACCAGCUCUCCAGUGCAGGAUGUCUGAAAAUCAAGGGAUUUGGUACCUUGUCAUUUGAAGACACUUCUGUCAUCAGAGGCUCCUCAUCCAUGAAGAGAUCCCAUCAGCCUGAUGCUCCUCCUGCUUCUGCUGCUGCUCCAGCUUUAUUUCAUUGUCCCGGCACAACAAGAUGCUCAGCAGGUCCACACAGAGAUCAACAAGCUGAGGACCCAAAGUUUUACCAAGCUAUGAAAACAAAGACAUGUUGGAAGUGAAGAAAAGAGGAGGAUGGGAGCAGACAGGUAAUUAUACAGCAGGAAUAGGAGUUAACUAAGAACUACUUAGAUUACAACCUCUUCUGGGGGAAGGAACCACCCCCCUAUGUAGAAACCUGAUUCUAAGAGAAGUCUCAGGUUGCCAAAUAAAUAGUGAUAGAAUUUCAUUUAUACAUAUAUAUAUUCAUUUAUACAUUAUAUAUAUGACAUUUGGAGGUACACAGGCCAGUGAAUUUUACUCUGUGCAAAGGCUUCCUGGGGAGACCCGGGAGCUGGAUUAAAAUCUCGAGAUUAUUUGCACUCACACCGAUCAGCAAGGUAACCCAUGCAAAGUAAAUCCAAAGCAAAUCCUCAAUAAUAAGAACUGGCAUUUGUUUACAAAUUACAUGCAGUUUUGUACAGUGCUGUGCAGCCUCAGAGACAAGCACAGAAAAAAGAGCUACAGAACUGGAACCUAAGUUUGAACAGCUAAGUCAUUUGUACCUUCUACAUGAAAAUAAAUCAAACAUAACCACAAUAUUAUUACAAUAUUGCUCUUA